UACGGAGGGUGCGAGCGUUAAUCGGAAUAACUGGGCGUAAAGGGCACGCAGGCGGGCUUUUAAGUGAGGUGUGAAAUCCCCGGGCUUAACCUGGGAAUAGCAUUUCAGACUGGGAGUCUAGAGUGCUUUAGGGAGGGGUAGAAUUCCACGUGUAGCGGUGAAAUGCGUAGAGAUGUGGAGGAAUUCCGAAGGCGAAGGCAGCCCCUUGGGAAUGUACUGACGCUCUUGUGCGUAAGCGCGGGGAGCAAACAGG
Molecule: ribosomal RNA, 253 nt
Filed under: uncultured bacterium
Lineage: Bacteria
Description: partial 16S ribosomal RNA
Rfam family: Bacterial small subunit ribosomal RNA
Source: RNAcentral